This 1076-nucleotide ribosomal RNA is filed under the name uncultured soil bacterium. Its description in RNAcentral is "bacterial SSU rRNA". It matches the Rfam family "Bacterial small subunit ribosomal RNA", at positions 1 to 1064 of the family's 1533-position model. The record is from RNAcentral.
CGUGCGGAAAAGAGUUUGAUCCUGGCUCAGAACGAACGCUGGCGGCGUGGAUUAGGCAUGCAAGUCGUAAGCGAAAGUCUCCUUCGGGGGAUGAGUAGAGUGGCGAACUGGUGAGUACAAGGUGACUAACCUGCCCUUGAGUGGGGGAUAGAAACCGAAGCUAAUACCGCAUGGUUUCUUGAUCUCUCGGGGUUGAGAAUAAAGCAGUAAUGCGCUCAAGGAUGGGGUCACCCCCCAUUAGCUUGUUGGUAGGGUAACGGCCUACCAAGGCUGCGAUGGGUAGCUGGACUGAGAGGUUGGCCAGCCACACUGGGACUGAGAUACGGCCCAGACUCCUACGGGGGGCAGCAGUCUAGAGGCUUCGACAAUGCCCGAAAGGGUGAUCGAGCGACGCCGCGUGCGGGAUGAAGGUCUUCGGAUUGUAAACCGCUUUUGUUUGGGAAGAAGGCCUGUGUCGUGAACAUGGGAUUGACGGUACCAAACGAAUAAGCCCCGGCUAACUCCGUGCCAGCAGCCGCGGUAAGACGGAGGGGGCAAGCGUUGUUCGGAAUCAUUGGGCGUAAAGGGCUCGUAGGCGGACUAGUAAGUCUGGCGUGAAAUCUCCACCGCUCACCGGGGAGAGGUCGCUGGAUACUGCUAGUCUUGAGUUCGGUAGAGGGUCGUGGAAUUUCGGGUGUAGCGGUGGAAUGCGUAGAUAUCCGAAAGAACACCGGUGGCGAAGGCGGCGACCUGGGCCUGAACUGACGCUGAGGAGCGAAGGCUAGGGGAGCAAACGGGAUUAGAUACCCCGGUAGUCCUAGCUGUAAACGGUGGAUACUAGGUGUGGGGGGUAUUCGACCCCUCCUGUGCCGUAGUCAACACAUUAAGUAUCCCGCCUGGGAAGUACGGCGCAAGGUUGAAACUCAAAGGAAUUGACGGGGGCCCGCACAAGCGGUGGAGCAUGUGGUUUAAUUCGACGCAACGCGAAGAACCUUACCCGGGCUCGAAAUGUUAGGGACAUCCCUGGAAACAGGGCUUCUAUUCUUUCGGGAUAGAUCCUAGUAUAGGUGCUUGCAUGGCUUGUCGUCAAGCUCGUG